CAGCCGCCGCGGUAAUACGUAGGUCCCGAGCGUUGUCCGGAUUUAUUGGGCGUAAAGCGAGCGCAGGCGGUUAGAUAAGUCUGAAGUUAAAGGCUGUGGCUUAACCAUAGUACGCUUUGGAAACUGUUUAACUUGAGUGCAAGAGGGGGGAGUGGAAUUCCAUGUGUAGCGGUGAAAUGCGCAGAUAUAUGGAGGAACACCGGUGGCGAAAGCGGCUCUCUGGCUUGUAACUGACGCUGAGGCUCGAAAGCGUGGGGAGCAAACAGGAUUAGAUACCCCCGUAGUCCCUGUCUCUUAUACA
RNAcentral lists this ribosomal RNA (301 nucleotides) under uncultured bacterium. RNAcentral's name for it is "partial 16S ribosomal RNA". It matches the Rfam family "Bacterial small subunit ribosomal RNA", at positions 509 to 808 of the family's 1533-position model. The record is from RNAcentral.